This 500-nucleotide ribosomal RNA is filed under the name uncultured bacterium. RNAcentral describes it as "partial 16S ribosomal RNA". It matches the Rfam family "Bacterial small subunit ribosomal RNA", at positions 30 to 523 of the family's 1533-position model. The record is from RNAcentral.
AUUGAACGCUGGCGGCAUGCCUUACACAUGCAAGUCGAACGGCAGCACGGGAGCAAUCCUGGUGGCGAGUAGCGAACGGGUGAGUAAUGUAUCGGAACGUGCCCAGUCGUGGGGGAUAACGUAGCGAAAGCUACGCUAAUACCGCAUACGCUCUAUGGAUGAAAGCGGGGGAUCGCAAUACCUCGCGCGAUUGGAGCGGCCGAUAUCAGAUUAGGUAGUUGGUGGGGUAAAGGCCCACCAAGCCUGCAAUCUGUAGCUGGUCUGAGAGGACGACCAGCCACACUGGAACUGAGACACGGUCCAGACUCCUACGGGAGGCAGCAGUGGGGAAUUUUGGACAAUGGGCGCAAGCCUGAUCCAGCAAUGCCGCAUGCAGGAUGAAGGCCUUCGGGUUGUAAACUGCUUUUGUACGGAACGAAACGGCUUUUUCUAAUACAGAGAGCUAAUGACGGUACCGUAAGAAUAAGCACCGGCUAACUACGUGCCAGCCGCCGCGGUAA